GCUUAGAAGCAGCCAUUCAUUUAAAGAGUGCGUAACAGCUCACUAGUCAAGAGAUCUUGCGUGGAAAAUGUAACGGGGCUAAACGUAAUACCGAAGACAUGGGUCUAUGCAUUAGCAUGGGCGGUAGAGGAGCGUUCCUAUCGGCAGUGAAGCAGUAUUGUAAAGUGCUGUGGAGCGGUAGGAAGUGAGAAUGCUGGAAUGAGUAACCAUAAGAGAGGUGAGAAUCCUCUCGGCCGUAAGAGCAAGGUUUCCUGAGCUAUGGUAAUCAUCUCAGGGUUAGUCGGGCCUAAGCCGAGGCGCAUAGCGUAGGCGAUGGACAUCAGGUUGAUAUUCCUGAACCGGCGUAGUUUGUACACUGUUCACGGAGAGAUAUUCAGAGCGGAUUCAUGGUUUAUCCGUCCAACCGAGCGGGAACGCAAAGGGAGUGAAAGUUACUCUGCGGAGUGAUGAUUCUGGAAAAGGCUCUGGCUAGAAAAGCAGGUGUACGCGUGGCUAUGUCCGCCCGUACCGCAAACCAACACAGGUGCUCGAGUCGAGUAGACUCAGGCUUACGAGUGAACCUUCGCUAAGGAACUCGGCAAUACAGCGACCGUAACUUCGGAAUAAGGUCUGCCCCCACUUCGGUGGAUAUGUUGUCGGUUUCAAAGCUAGCAGGUGUGGUUGAAGAGUAUCUUUAAUACAUCAAUUCUUCUUGAGAUAGAACCAAUAGCUUUUGGAACUGAAGCUCAACGCAUCUAGCGAUGUGGGGGCCGCAGCAAAAGAGCCCACGGAACUGUUUAUCAAAAACACAGCUCUCUGCUAACACGAAAGUGGAUGUAUAGGGGGUGACUCCUGCCCGGUGCUGGAAGGUUAAGGGGAGUGCUUCACGGUACGAACUGAAGCCCCAGUGAACGGCGGCGGUAACUAUAACCGUCCUAAGGUAGCGAAAUUCCUUGUCAGGUAAGUUCUGACCCGCACGAAUGGAGUAAUCAUGUGGGCACUGUCUCAGCGAAGGACUCGGUGAAAGUGCAUUGGCGGUAAAGAUGCCGUCUGUCCAUACCAGGACGAGAAGACCCCAUGGAGCUUUACUACAGCUUUACAUUGAUCCAGGUUUCAGCAUGUGUAGCAUAGUUGGGAGACUUUGAAACAGAUACGCUAGUAUUUGCGGAGUCGCAAUGUGAAAUACCAACCUUGCUGUGAUCUUGAUCUCACUUGUGCCGUUAUCCGGUACAAGGACCGUGUAUGGUGGGUAGUUUAACUGGGGCGGUUGCCUCCUAAAGAGUAGCGGAGGCGUUCAAAGGUUGGCUAACUUCGGAUGGAAAUCGAAGUGAUAGUGUAUGCGCAUAAGCCAGCUUGACUGUGAGGAGUACAUUCCAAUCAGAGACGAAAGUCGGAGCAAGUGACCCGCUGUACGAACAUUUGUUCAUUGAAUGUGGGAUCGACAGCGCACACGGAUAAAAGUUACCCUGGGGAUAACAGGCUUAUAGCGCCCAAUAGUUCACAUAGACGGCGCUGUUUGGCACCUCGAUGUCGGCUCAUCACAUCCUGGAGGGGGAGCACCUUCCAAGGGUCCGGCUGUUCGCCGGUUAAAGUGGUACGCGAGCUGGGUUCAGAACGUCGUGAGACAGUUCGGUUUAUAUCCGGUAUGGACGUUAGGAAUUUUGAGAGGAUCUGCCCCUAGUACGAGAGGACCGGGGUGGACGAAUCUCUAGUGUAUCGGUUGUGGCCACCUGCUGCAUCGCCGAGUAGCUAUGUUCGGAAGAGAUAAGCGCUGAAAGCAUAUUAAGCGCGAAGCCCACUCCAAGAUUAGAAUUCCCUAUGAGAUCCCAGAGAGAAGAUCUGGUUGAUAGGCGCAAGAUGGAAGUAUCGCAAGGUAUGGAGUCGAAGCGUACUAAUAGAUCCAUCGCCUUUUUAUG
Molecule: ribosomal RNA, 1895 nt
Filed under: human oral metagenome
Description: bacterial LSU rRNA
Rfam family: Bacterial large subunit ribosomal RNA
Source: RNAcentral